UGGGGAAUUUUGCGCAAUGGGGGAAACCCUGACGCAGCAACGCCGCGUGGAGGAUGAAGUACUUCGGUACGUAAACUCCUUUCGAUCGGGACGAUAAUGACGGUACCGGAAGAAGAAGCCCCGGCUAACUUCGUGCCAGCAGCCGCGGUAAUACGAGGGGGGCAAGCGUUGUUCGGAAUUAUUGGGCGUAAAGGGUGCGUAGGCGGUUUGGUAAGUCUUAUGUGAAAUCUCCGGGCUCAACUCGGAGUCUGCAUGGGAAACUGCCGGGCUUGAGUGUGGGAGAGGUGAGUGGAAUUUCCGGUGUAGCGGUGAAAUGCGUAGAUAUCGGAAGGAACACCUGUGGCGAAAGCGGCUCACUGGACCACAACUGACGCUGAUGCACGAAAGCUAGGGGAGCAAACAGGAUUAGAUACCCUGGUAGUCCUAGCCCUAAACGAUGACUGCUUGGUGUGACGGGUACCCAAUCCCGCCGUGCCGUAGCUAACGCGUUAAGCAGUCCGCCUGGGGAGUACGGUCGCAAGGCUG
RNAcentral lists this ribosomal RNA (525 nucleotides) under uncultured bacterium. RNAcentral describes it as "bacterial SSU rRNA". It matches the Rfam family "Bacterial small subunit ribosomal RNA", at positions 355 to 896 of the family's 1533-position model. The record is from RNAcentral.